Molecule: non-coding RNA, 215 nt
Organism: Chloroflexi bacterium 13_1_20CM_54_36
Lineage: Bacteria; Bacillati; Chloroflexota
Source: Rfam
GUCAGGAACCCAAUCCUCUUUUAGGGGAUGGGCUUGUGUGAACAAGCUCACCUGACCAGACUCAGCUCGCAAGAGCUACGUUACGAACGAAAUAGGUACGUUGGGAUGCGUCGCCAGUUCCAACCGCUACGGUAGCAGGUUAAACAGAGAUACAAGGGUUAACUCCGUGCUUGUUACGCGAAACCGUUCAGUAACCUUGUCAAGGCGAACAUUAC